This 432-nucleotide ribosomal RNA is filed under the name uncultured Anaerolineaceae bacterium. RNAcentral's name for it is "bacterial SSU rRNA". It matches the Rfam family "Bacterial small subunit ribosomal RNA", at positions 940 to 1382 of the family's 1533-position model. The record is from RNAcentral. Lineage: Bacteria; Bacillati; Chloroflexota; Anaerolineae; Anaerolineales; Anaerolineaceae.
UGUGGUUUAAUUCGUUGCUACACGAAGAACCUUACCUGGGUUUGACAUAUAGGUUGUAGGGAACUGAAAAGGGACCGACCCUUCGGGGAGCCUAUACAGGUGUUGCAUGGCUGUCGUCAGCUCGUGUCGUGAGAUGUUCGGUUAAGUCCGCUAACGAGCGCAACCCUCGUCGUAUGUUAUAUGUGUCAUACGAGACUGCCGGUAAAAGCCGAAGGAAGGUGAGGAUGAUGUCAAGUCAGCAUGACCUUUAUAUCCCAGGGCUACACACACGCUACAAUGGUCUGUACAAUGGGUAGCCAAGCCGCGAGGCGGAGCCAAUCCUGAAAGCAGGCCUCAGUUCAGAUUGCAGUCUGCAACUCGACUGCAUGAAGCCGGAGUUGCUAGUAACCGCAGGUCAGCAAUACCUGCGGUGAAUACCGGUUCCCGGGUCUU